Long non-coding RNA from Anthonomus grandis grandis, 668 nucleotides. RefSeq lists it as uncharacterized. The record is from RefSeq and is a predicted model, not a curated record. NCBI's taxonomy places the organism in Eukaryota, Metazoa, Arthropoda, Insecta, Coleoptera, Curculionidae. The transcript has 4 exons.
UUAUAGAGCCCGCAGUCGAGAAAGUCUGUUACGCCUUGGAGCGCAUCACUGGCUUUAAAGUGAAAUUUCUCAAAAAAUACUUGGGAUAUUUGGACGAAAUAAACUGUAGAUGAUUAAGAAGACUUUCGUCUACAAAGUUUGUUGGAGGUUCAAAAUGCUGAAAAUGACACCUUUUGAGUUAUCACACUUUAUAGAGUCCGUAGUCGAGAAAGUCUGUUACGCCUUGGAGCUCAUCACUGGCUUUAAAGUGAAAUUUCUCAAAAAAUACUUGGGAUAUUUGGACGAAAUAAACUAUAGAUGAUUAAGAAGACUUUCAUCUACAAAGUUUGUUGGAGGUUCAAAAUGCUGAAAAUGACACCUUUUGAGUUAUCACACUUUAUAGAGUCCGUAGUCGAGAAAGUCUGUUACGCCUUGGAGCUCAUCACUGGCUUUAAAGUGAAAUUUCUCAAAAAAUACUUGGGAUAUUUGGACGAAAUAAACUAUAGAUGAUUAAGAAGACUUUCAUCUACAAAGUUUGUUGGAGGUUCAAAAUGCUGAAAAUGACACCUUUUGAGUUAUCACACUUUAUAGAGUCCGUAGUCGAGAAAGUCUGUUACGCCUUGGAGCUCAUCACUGGCUUUAAAGUGAAAUUUCUCAAAAAAUACUUGGGAUAUUUGGACGAAAUAAAC